UUGAGCCGUAUGCGGGAAAACUCGCACGUACGGUUCUUAGGGGGGGGAAAGCUUGAGAGGGCCUACCUAUCCCGAC
This is a non-coding RNA of Marchantia polymorpha (common liverwort), 76 nucleotides long. Lineage: Eukaryota; Viridiplantae; Streptophyta; Marchantiopsida; Marchantiales; Marchantiaceae. The record is from Rfam.